This 468-nucleotide ribosomal RNA is filed under the name uncultured bacterium. RNAcentral's name for it is "partial 16S ribosomal RNA". It matches the Rfam family "Bacterial small subunit ribosomal RNA", at positions 28 to 507 of the family's 1533-position model. The record is from RNAcentral.
GACGAACGCUGGCGGCGUGCCUAACACAUGCAAGUCGAACGGAAAGGCCCUGCUUUUGUGGGGUGCUCGAGUGGCGAACGGGUGAGUAACACGUGAGUAACCUGCCCUUGACUUUGGGAUAACUUCAGGAAACUGGGGCUCAUACCGGAUAGGAGCUCCUGCUGCAUGGUGGGGGUUGGAAAGAUUCGGCGGUUGGGGAUGGACUCGCGGCUUAUCAGCUUGUUGGUGGGGUAGUGGCUUACCAAGGCUUUGACGGGUAGCCGGCCUGAGAGGGUGACCGGCCACAUUGGGACUGAGAUACGGCCCAGACUCCUACGGGAGGCAGCAGUGGGGAAUAUUGCACAAUGGGCGGAAGCCUGAUGCAGCAACGCCGCGUGCGGGAUGACGGCCUUCGGGUUGUAAACCGCUUUCGCCUGUGACGAAGCGUGAGUGACGGUAAUGGGUAAAGAAGCACCGGCUAACUACGUG